CAUUAGUCAGGAAAGGCAACUCAGUGAUCCCUUCAGCUCCAAUGAUGAACUUUGUGCGUGCCCAGAUCAAGAAAGCAGCUGAUGAGACCGAGACUAUUCUUGAAACAACCCCGGCUGGCAAAAGCGAUGGAGAAGGUGCACUUCGAGCAUUCAUCAAGCGCCAGGGCCAAAAGUUAAGGCGGCUAUCAAACCUUUUUGGUUGUCG
This is a non-coding RNA of Triticum urartu, 205 nucleotides long. The record is from RefSeq and is a predicted model, not a curated record. NCBI's taxonomy places the organism in Eukaryota, Viridiplantae, Streptophyta, Magnoliopsida, Poales, Poaceae.